UGUGCAUUCAUCUCACAGAGUUGAACAUU
This 29-nucleotide non-coding RNA is filed under the name Homo sapiens (human). Lineage: Eukaryota; Metazoa; Chordata; Mammalia; Primates; Hominidae. The record is from RNAcentral.